RNAcentral lists this ribosomal RNA (497 nucleotides) under uncultured bacterium. Its description in RNAcentral is "partial 16S ribosomal RNA". It matches the Rfam family "Bacterial small subunit ribosomal RNA", at positions 28 to 507 of the family's 1533-position model. The record is from RNAcentral.
GAUGAACGCUGGCGGCGUGCCUAAUACAUGCCAGUCGAGCGAACAGACGAGGAGCUUGCUCCUCUGACGUUAGCGGCGGACGGGUGAGUAACACGUGGAUAACCUACCUAUAAGACUGGGAUAACUUCGGGAAACCGGAGCUAAUACCGGAUAAUAUAUUGAACCGCAUGGUUCAAUAGUGAAAGACGGUUUUGCUGUCACUUAUAGAUGGAUCCGCGCCGCAUUAGCUAGUUGGUAAGGUAACGGCUUACCAAGGCGACGAUGCGUAGCCGACCUGAGAGGGUGAUCGGCCACACUGGAACUGAGACACGGUCCAGACUCCUACGGGAGGCAGCAGUAGGGAAUCUUCCUCAAUGGGCGAAAGCCUGACGGAGCAACGCCGCGUGAGUGAUGAAGGUCUUCGGAUCGUAAAACUCUGUUAUUGGGGAAGAACAAAUGUGUAAGUAACUAUGCACGUCUUGACGGUACCUAAUCAGAAAGCCACGGCUAACUACGUG